RNAcentral lists this ribosomal RNA (349 nucleotides) under uncultured Sphingobacteriales bacterium. Its description in RNAcentral is "bacterial SSU rRNA". It matches the Rfam family "Bacterial small subunit ribosomal RNA", at positions 1033 to 1382 of the family's 1533-position model. The record is from RNAcentral. Lineage: Bacteria; Pseudomonadati; Bacteroidota; Sphingobacteriia; Sphingobacteriales.
GCAAGGUGCUGCAUGGUGUCGUCAGCUCGUGCCGUGAGGUGUCGGGUUAAGUCCCAUAACGAGCGCAACCCUUAUCGUUAGUUGCCAGCGGGUCAUGCCGGGAACUCUAACGAAACUGCCGGUGUAAACCGUGAGGAAGGUGGGGAUGACGUCAAAUCAGCACGGCCCUUAUGUCCAGGGCUACACACGUGUUACAAUGGCCGGUACAGAGGGCAGCUACCUGGAGACAGGAUGCGAAUCUCCAAAGCCGGUCUCAGUUCGGAUCGGAGUCUGCAACUCGACUCCGUGAAGCUGGAUUCGCUAGUAAUCGCGCAUCAGCCAUGGCGCGGUGAAUACGUUCCCGGGCCUU